AGUGGCGGACGGGUGAGUAAUGUCUGGGAAACUGCCUGAUGGAGGGGGAUAACUACUGGAAACGGUAGCUAAUACCGCAUAACGUCGCAAGACCAAAGAGGGGGACCUUCGGGCCUCUUGCCAUCGGAUGUGCCCAGAUGGGAUUAGCUAGUAGGUGGGGUAACGGCUCACCUAGGCGACGAUCCCUAGCUGGUCUGAGAGGAUGACCAGCCACACUGGAACUGAGACACGGUCCAGACUCCUACGGGAGGCAGCAGUGGGGAAUAUUGCACAAUGGGCGCAAGCCUGAUGCAGCCAUGCCGCGUGUAUGAAGAAGGCCUUCGGGUUGUAAAGUACUUUCAGCGGGGAGGAAGGGAGUAAAGUUAAUACCUUUGCUCAUUGACGUUACCCGCAGAAGAAGCACCGGCUAACUCCGUGCCAGCAGCCGCGGUAAUACGGAGGGUACAAGCGUUAAUCGGAAUUACUGGGCGUAAAGCGCACGCAGGCGGUUUGUUAAGUCAGAUGUGAAAUCCCCGGGCUCAACCUGGGAACUGCAUCUGAUACUGGCAAGCUUGAGUCUCGUAGAGGGGGGUAGAAUUCCAGGUGUAGCGGUGAAAUGCGUAGAGAUCUGGAGGAAUACCGGUGGCGAAGGCGGCCCCCUGGACGAAGACUGACGCUCAGGUGCGAAAGCGUGGGGAGCAAACAGGAUUAGAUACCCUGGUAGUCCACGCCGUAAACGAUGUCGACUUGGAGG
Molecule: ribosomal RNA, 733 nt
Filed under: uncultured bacterium
Lineage: Bacteria
Description: bacterial SSU rRNA
Rfam family: Bacterial small subunit ribosomal RNA
Source: RNAcentral